Molecule: ribosomal RNA, 328 nt
Filed under: uncultured eukaryote
Lineage: Eukaryota
Description: partial 18S ribosomal RNA
Rfam family: Eukaryotic small subunit ribosomal RNA
Source: RNAcentral
CCCUUAGAUGUCCUGGGCCGCACGCGCGUUACACUGAUGCAUUCAACGAGCUCAUAACCUUGGCCGAGGGGCCUGGGCAAUCUUGUUAACGUGCAUCGUGAUAGGGAUAGAUUAUUGAAAUUAUUAAUCUUGAACGAGGAAUUCCUAGUAAACGCAGAUCAUCAAUCUGCAUUGAUUACGUCCCUGCCCUUUGUACACACCGCCCGUCGCACCUACCGAUUGGAUGGUCCGGUGAAGCCUCGGGAUUGUGGUUCUUGCCGCUUUAUUGUGGCGUGACCGCGAGAACUUGUCUAAACCUUAUCAUCUAGAGGAAGGUGAAGUCGUAACA